GCACUGUCUUUCUCAACCUUUGCCCCCUAUAUUGGAGAUGCCGGCUUGCCGGCUAUGGAAAUAAAUGACCGUCGCAAUAAACCAUUCGGACCCGGGGGCAGUACCCGGCGCCUCCACCAAAGCCUGCCAAAGAAAAAGCCUGCCAAAAAUCAUGUCCGGCGGGCUUCGGCGGGGGCGAAAUAGGAUCGACGAGGGCGUAAAGGGCGUGUUUUUUCUCGGUAUGGUUCCGCCGAUAUCGGGCCAUGCAAUAGUUGCAAACGACAACUAUGCUCCGGUUGCUCAGGCUGCGUAACGCAGUUUGAAAGACCACUUUAAAGUCCUGGCGGGUUAAGCUCCGCUAGGCGGGGUUCGGAGGCACCUGGCAACAGAAGCCUCCACU
This 379-nucleotide transfer-messenger RNA is filed under the name Bradyrhizobium sp. It matches the Rfam family "Alphaproteobacteria transfer-messenger RNA". From Rfam's summary of the family: Bacterial tmRNA, also known as 10Sa RNA or SsrA, is named for its dual tRNA and mRNA-like properties. Its role is to liberate the mRNA from a stalled ribosome. To accomplish this part of the tmRNA is used as a reading frame that ends in a translation stop signal. Lineage: Bacteria; Pseudomonadati; Pseudomonadota; Alphaproteobacteria; Hyphomicrobiales; Nitrobacteraceae. The record is from RNAcentral.